Molecule: long non-coding RNA, 647 nt
Filed under: Triticum aestivum (bread wheat)
Lineage: Eukaryota; Viridiplantae; Streptophyta; Magnoliopsida; Poales; Poaceae
Description: long non-coding RNA (TAES_LNC026584)
Source: RNAcentral
AUGUUUACUAUACAGGAACUGAUCGUUCAUGAUCACUAUAAGGAUAAAAUUGGUGGGUUUACUUCAUUCAGCAGCAUAUACAAAUCUAUUUGUUGUGUUUUUGGUUACUGGUAUUACUGUUUUGAAGGGUAUAAAUAGCUAAAUAAUUUUAAUUAGGUUUUUAAUCUCAGUAUACAGUCAAACAGCAGAUGCAGUAAUUUUGUAGAAGGAAUGCAGCCCUUGGUCCAAUAGUGAUUUAUGUUUUUUAUGUGACAUGGAGCGAUCUGUGACUUUGAAGCACAUGUGAAUCUUGUGAUUCUGCAAAAUUCAGUGUACAGCUUCUUCACUGACAUUAUUCAGUAGUUGUAUCUUCUUACCAAUUUCAGUGUAAGUUUUGCCUCUUGAUGUGUUAUAGUCUCUACAGUAGGUGCAUUGUGAUUUUCCUUUUAAUGCAUAGAAUAGAAAGUUUAGCGUAAGCGUGAUUAUAAGCUUUAUUAGUCACUUUUCCCAUGUUUCAUAGUACAUAAUAUAGGCAGAAGUAGUUUCUCCCAUAUUUUUUAUGGAUAGUGUACCUGUGAUUCUAAGCUUUAUUAGUCAUAACAGACUAUUUCAUAUGAUUUUAAUUUAUUUUUCUUUUAGUGUUAGCCAAAGCAUGUUGAUCAGGUGGG